GCAAGUCGAGGGGUAACAGGGUUUUCGGACCGCUGACGACCGGCGCACGGGUGCGUAACGCGUAUGCAACCUACCUUUAACAGGAGGAUAGCCCCGAGAAAUCGGGAUUAAUACUCCAUAGUAAUGGAUAAUGGCAUCAUUAUUCAUUUAAAGUUUUGGCGGUUAAAGAUGGGCAUGCGUGGCAUUAGUUUGUUGGUGAGGUAACGGCUCACCAAGACUACGAUGCCUAGGGGGUCUGAGAGGAUGAUC
Molecule: ribosomal RNA, 249 nt
Filed under: uncultured bacterium
Lineage: Bacteria
Description: partial 16S ribosomal RNA
Rfam family: Bacterial small subunit ribosomal RNA
Source: RNAcentral